This 1518-nucleotide ribosomal RNA is filed under the name Mycobacterium basiliense. RNAcentral's name for it is "bacterial SSU rRNA". It matches the Rfam family "Bacterial small subunit ribosomal RNA". Lineage: Bacteria; Bacillati; Actinomycetota; Actinomycetes; Mycobacteriales; Mycobacteriaceae. The record is from RNAcentral.
AGAGUUUGAUCCUGGCUCAGGACGAACGCUGGCGGCGUGCUUAACACAUGCAAGUCGAACGGAAAGGUCUCUUCGGAGAUACUCGAGUGGCGAACGGGUGAGUAACACGUGGGCGAUCUGCCCUGCACUUCGGGAUAAGCCUGGGAAACUGGGUCUAAUACCGGAUAGGACCACGGGAUUCAUGUCCUGUGGUGGAAAGCUUUUGCGGUGUGGGAUGGGCCCGCGGCCUAUCAGCUUGUUGGUGGGGUAACGGCCUACCAAGGCGACGACGGGUAGCCGGCCUGAGAGGGUGUCCGGCCACACUGGGACUGAGAUACGGCCCAGACUCCUACGGGAGGCAGCAGUGGGGAAUAUUGCACAAUGGGCGCAAGCCUGAUGCAGCGACGCCGCGUGGGGGAUGACGGCCUUCGGGUUGUAAACCUCUUUCACCAUCGACGAAGGUCCGGUUUCCCGGAUUGACGGUAGGUGGAGAAGAAGCACCGGCCAACUACGUGCCAGCAGCCGCGGUAAUACGUAGGGUGCGAGCGUUGUCCGGAAUUACUGGGCGUAAAGAGCUCGUAGGUGGUUUGUCGCGUUGUUCGUGAAAUCUCACGGCUUAACUGUGAGCGUGCGGGCGAUACGGGCAGACUAGAGUACUGCAGGGGAGACUGGAAUUCCUGGUGUAGCGGUGGAAUGCGCAGAUAUCAGGAGGAACACCGGUGGCGAAGGCGGGUCUCUGGGCAGUAACUGACGCUGAGGAGCGAAAGCGUGGGGAGCGAACAGGAUUAGAUACCCUGGUAGUCCACGCCGUAAACGGUGGGUACUAGGUGUGGGUUUCCUUCCUUGGGAUCCGUGCCGUAGCUAACGCAUUAAGUACCCCGCCUGGGGAGUACGGCCGCAAGGCUAAAACUCAAAGGAAUUGACGGGGGCCCGCACAAGCGGCGGAGCAUGUGGAUUAAUUCGAUGCAACGCGAAGAACCUUACCUGGGUUUGACAUGCACAGGACGCGUCUAGAGAUAGGCGUUCCCUUGUGGCCUGUGUGCAGGUGGUGCAUGGCUGUCGUCAGCUCGUGUCGUGAGAUGUUGGGUUAAGUCCCGCAACGAGCGCAACCCUUGUCUCAUGUUGCCAGCACGUAAUGGUGGGGACUCGUGAGAGACUGCCGGGGUCAACUCGGAGGAAGGUGGGGAUGACGUCAAGUCAUCAUGCCCCUUAUGUCCAGGGCUUCACACAUGCUACAAUGGCCGGUACAAAGGGCUGCGAUGCCGCGAGGUUAAGCGAAUCCUUUUAAAGCCGGUCUCAGUUCGGAUCGGGGUCUGCAACUCGACCCCGUGAAGUCGGAGUCGCUAGUAAUCGCAGAUCAGCAACGCUGCGGUGAAUACGUUCCCGGGCCUUGUACACACCGCCCGUCACGUCAUGAAAGUCGGUAACACCCGAAGCCAGUGGCCUAACCCUUUGGGAGGGAGCUGUCGAAGGUGGGAUCGGCGAUUGGGACGAAGUCGUAACAAGGUAGCCGUACCGGAAGGUGCGGCUGGAUCACCU